RNAcentral lists this ribosomal RNA (442 nucleotides) under uncultured Gammaproteobacteria bacterium. Its description in RNAcentral is "bacterial SSU rRNA". It matches the Rfam family "Bacterial small subunit ribosomal RNA", at positions 544 to 985 of the family's 1533-position model. The record is from RNAcentral. Lineage: Bacteria; Pseudomonadati; Pseudomonadota; Gammaproteobacteria.
AUCGGAUUACUGGGCGUAAAGCGUGCGUAGGCGGCUGUUUAAGUCAGAUGUGAAAGCCCCGGGCUUAACCUGGGAACUGCAUUUGAUACUGGGCAGCUAGAGUUGAGUAGAGGAAAGGGGAAUUUCAGGUGUAGCGGUGAAAUGCGUAGAGAUCUGAAGGAACACCAGUGGCGAAGGCGCCUUUCUGGACUCAAACUGACGCUGAGGUACGAAAGCGUGGGUAGCAAACAGGAUUAGAUACCCUGGUAGUCCACGCCGUAAACGAUGUCAACUAGCCGUUGGUCUUAUUCGUAAGAUUCGUGGCGCAGCUAACGCGAUAAGUUGACCGCCUGGGGAGUACGGCCGCAAGGUUAAAACUCAAAUGAAUUGACGGGGGCCCGCACAAGCGGUGGAGCAUGUGGUUUAAUUCGAUGCAACGCGAAGAACCUUACCUACCCUUGAC